RNAcentral lists this long non-coding RNA (1918 nucleotides) under Homo sapiens (human). RNAcentral describes it as "HSALNT0006604". Lineage: Eukaryota; Metazoa; Chordata; Mammalia; Primates; Hominidae. The record is from RNAcentral.
GUGUGGGCAGGAACAGUCCAGGGUCUGUCAGUCAAGGUCAGUACUAACAGUGUUAGGAACUGGGUACAACUUGAGGGAGCUUGCAGCAGGUCAGAUUCUCCAUGAAGCAAAAACUGAAGAGGAAAUUAGCACUCAGGAUGUUUAAGGAACACUCCUGGGUUCAAACCUGCUGAAGGAGGAGAAAGAAGUAGGAGUUGAUGAAGGAAAAAGUAAACUGUGAUGCAAAACUAAGGGUACCCUUGUUACACCCUUAGGGAGCUCUGGAGCUAGAAUGGCUUUUCAGAGCUGUCCUAAGUUGGGCCGAGAUAACCAGGCCUUUAUACUCCUUCCUAUAUGAAUCAGCCGUUGGAUGUAGAGUCCUUAGGAAGGAACACAACAUUGGCUGUGUACCUCUCCGUAUAUGAAGCAAUCCCUGAAGAGGCUUACAGCUGAAGGCUGUCUGCCGAGUACACUCCCAGGAACUGGGGCAAUAUGUCGUCUUCAAAGGAGAAUCUGGAUGGUGCAUCAUUGUGUCCACCACAGAUCUCAAGAUCACCAAAUCCGGACUGGCAAUGCAUAAGAGGCAUGAAGUUCUGACAUCCUAAACUCAAAUGGCAGGGAAAAAAAAACACUGCCAUCUAUUCUGACCUCUGAAGUCACCAUGCCCAUUAACUGAGGAUGAAGAAGACAGAAGGAAUACUGAAUGUCUGAAGAGAGAGAAAACGUUAUAAAAUUAUCCUUUCAAAAGAUGGAAGAAUAAAUUCACUUGGCAAAUGUGAUAUGGACUCACCUGAGGUUUGAAGUCAUCCAAAAAGAAACCAAAAAUCAUGGUUUUGAGAUUUUGUCCAAAUUCCUUCAUUAUCUCAGGUACAAAUGAAAAAAAAUUAUUCUAAUGUAGUUGGGUUUAAUGAGAGUUGAGAUUUUUCUAAGAAGUAAGGUAUAGGGGAAAGAAGGUAAGGUAGUUAAAGGUACCUAAGAAAUUAUUAUAAAAAUAAAUCAUGAACUGUAAGUUGAUAAGGAGGGAAAUGGGCAUAUAAGGGGGAUCAGGGGCAUUGAAAGGAUAUUAGGAUCAAUGGUUUGACUUUCUAAUGGUAUUGAAGAAUUAUAAAAGCAGGAAUAUGGAAGGGAUGGACUGAAAAGAAAGGAGAUGAUACAAGUAUUAUUGUAUGUUUUCACAUUUUAUCAUUUCUGAAAAAGGAAAGAUAAUGGCAACUUAAUUUAGUAAAAUAUGGUAAUAAUUGAUAAGGUCUAGAAUAUGAUAAUAAAUAGUGUUGCUGAGGUGGGUGAAAAUCAACAAACUGAAUGAAGAUCAACAUUCAUUAAAACAUUGAAUGUGACAUUAUCAAAUGACAGGAGUAGUGAUAAGAACAUCGGAAUACAGGUGUUUUCUAAAGUGAUUUCUAACUCUCAUAUGCUAUGAUUCUAUUAUUAAAACAAGUACAGGCAAACUUUUUACUUGAUUUACUUUCUAUAUACAAUGAGACUAAAAGAUAUCCAUCAACUGACCAGGGUCUACAGGGUAUAUUAUAAGUUGAAUUGAAAUGUCACGGGGCUGUCCUAAGUUCAAAUCAAGGUCAAAGAGAAAGACAGACCUUUACUUUUGGAUCUGUCACAAUAACAAGUAAGUGCUAUGAACUACCUGCAAAAAAGAUAAGAUGCUACCUGUGUAGAUGACAUGGUGAUGAGUGACAAGUCGUGGAUACUGUUCCAUAGUUUCAUUCUUAAUCUAAAUCACUUAGACAAGAAUCAUUAACUCCUUUGAUCAGAAGUUUUUCCUGCCCAUACAAUUAUAUACAAUACACAAUCACUCUAGGAGGGCAUAGUGUCAUGAAGGAGAAAACGAUAGACUUGUUUUUCCAUACUCUGUAGGUACAUAGUUAAGUAUUAAUUCCAUAAAGGUUUGAUGAUGAUGACCGGUGGUGGUGAUGAUGAUGAUGGU